This 430-nucleotide long non-coding RNA is filed under the name Mustela putorius furo (domestic ferret). Its description in RNAcentral is "lncRNA (ENSMPUG00000024446.1)". The record is from RNAcentral. Lineage: Eukaryota; Metazoa; Chordata; Mammalia; Carnivora; Mustelidae.
GAGACAUUCUCCAGGCUGAGCUUCGUGGAUCAUUAGUCAGCCUUGGGGGAGAGUUGCAAUUGUCAUAAACCUUGUUCUCCCCAGGGUUCUGACAGGACACCUGAAGUGUAUCCUGGACUCUGUGAUGGAGACUGCUGUCAGCAGUUAGCUCUGCCUGCCAGAGGGGCACUAGCCGCCCUGAACCUCACUCUGCUGUCGGGCUGCAGCUGUUGCUCAUAGAGUCCUAAUGUGGCCAGCCAAAGAACCUAGAAGGGAAGAAGGAAAAGUUCUUCAACGCUGCAGUUUUGGUGCCCAAUGUGGAGCUCUCCACUGGCCACAGCACCUCAGAGAUCCUGGGACCUCUGACAGGACCCCGAAGAGAGAGAGACAGAGAGAGUGAGAGGAAGAGAGAAUGGAGCAAGGGGCAGAGAAAGAGGGAGAGAGAAUCUUA